AGUGAACGCUGGCGGUAGGCCUAACACAUGCAAGUCGAACGGCAGCACAGUAAGAGCUUGCUCUUACGGGUGGCGAGUGGCGGACGGGUGAGGAAUACAUCGGAAUCUACUUUUUCGUGGGGGAUAACGUAGGGAAACUUACGCUAAUACCGCAUACGACCCACGGGUGAAAGCAGGGGAUCUUCGGACCUUGCGCGAUUGAAUGAGCCGAUGUCGGAUUAGCUAGUUGGCGGGGUAAAGGCCCACCAAGGCGACGAUCCGUAGCUGGUCUGAGAGGAUGAUCAGCCACACUGGAACUGAGACACGGUCCAGACUCCUACGGGAGGCAGCAGUGGGGAAUAUUGGACAAUGGGCGCAAGCCUGAUCCAGCCAUACCGCGUGGGUGAAGAAGGCCUUCGGGUUGUAAAGCCCUUUUGUUGGGAAAGAAAAGCAGCAGGUUAAUACCCCGCUGUUCUGACGGUACCCAAAGAAUAAGCACCGACUAACUUCG
This 490-nucleotide ribosomal RNA is filed under the name uncultured bacterium. RNAcentral describes it as "partial 16S ribosomal RNA". It matches the Rfam family "Bacterial small subunit ribosomal RNA", at positions 29 to 505 of the family's 1533-position model. The record is from RNAcentral.